CGCCGCGGCAAGAGAUUUGACCGGCAGCGGCCGCCCCGGGAGGCGGCUGCCGAGCCGGCAAGAAAACAUGUCCUCACACUGAGCUUUCAAGGUCUCUUUUUCCAGUUCUAGGUGAUCAUAAAAAGACAACUAUUCCCAAAGAGAUGGUCAACAAUGCCCCAUUAUGGCCAGGAAAGAGCUCUGGAGGAAGGAAGGAAGGAAG
Long non-coding RNA from Chroicocephalus ridibundus (black-headed gull), 202 nucleotides. RefSeq lists it as uncharacterized. NCBI's taxonomy places the organism in Eukaryota, Metazoa, Chordata, Aves, Charadriiformes, Laridae. The record is from RefSeq and is a predicted model, not a curated record. The transcript has 3 exons.